Non-coding RNA from Chelonoidis abingdonii (Abingdon island giant tortoise), 517 nucleotides. The record is from RefSeq and is a predicted model, not a curated record. Lineage: Eukaryota; Metazoa; Chordata; Testudines; Testudinidae.
GUUCUGCAGCAUCAUUUCUAUGAAUGGGGCCAGCUACUGAAACCCAAAUCAUACUGAGUUUUUUGUUUGUCCAUCUCUGCCUCAGUAUAUGUCUGCAAGGCCUUGGUAACUGACAGCAGUUUCUAUCAGAGCAGGCACGCUAGUUUUCCUUUGAACAAAACGUCAGGAGGUGACACCCCAUGGUUCAUCAGUGCCAUUCUGUAAUGUAAAAGUGCUAAAUACAGAGCAGAGUCUGAUUCUGCAACAUUUUUCAGUAGGUGCUUUAUUAUUUUGACACCAUUUUCCACCAACUCAUUGGAUUGGGGAUAAUGGUACUCGUGGGGAAAUUCUGCGCCACUGCAUGCAGCAUAACUAACAUGCCACACGUAACUUUUUUUCCACAUAAAAUAACUUCUGCCAGAAAGUUUCUGCAGUUCCGCCUUUUGCCCACUGUAGGCCGCUGCGGUGCUAGAACAGAGUGGCCACUCCCGGGCAGGAGCAGGCCCAGCUGGCAAUAGGGCAGGGAAAAGCUUUCCUG